RNAcentral lists this ribosomal RNA (326 nucleotides) under uncultured eukaryote. RNAcentral describes it as "partial 18S ribosomal RNA". It matches the Rfam family "Eukaryotic small subunit ribosomal RNA", at positions 1470 to 1796 of the family's 1831-position model. The record is from RNAcentral.
CCCUUAGAUGUUCUGGGCCGCACGCGCGCUACACUGAUGCAUUCAACAAGCCUAGCCUUGACCGAGAGGUCCGGGUAAUCUUUGAAACUGCAUCGUGAUGGGGCUUGAUUAUUGCAAUUAUUAAUCUUCAACGAGGAAUGCCUAGUAAGCGUGAUUCAUCAAAUCGCGUUGAUUACGUCCCUGCCCUUUGUACACACCGCCCGUCGCUCCUACCGAUUGAAUGUGUUGGUGAGGAGCUCGGAUUGGCAGCAGUUGGUGGUUCGCCACCGGCUAUUGCUGAGAAGUCCUCCAAACCGCCCCAUUUAGAGGAAGGAGAAGUCGUAACA